AAGAUUAAACUUCACAGGAUCAUUUCUGUAGUAUAUCUUCACACAUUCUCAACUCGAAUUGAGAGAGGUUUGCAACCUCGAUGAUGAGGGGAAGUAUCGUUUUCUGAGCAAGUGGCAGGCCCUUGGAAUUCCACAAGGAAAUCUUCGUGGCCAAAGAUCAUUGUUCGACUGGAUUUUUCCAAUUUACGGAAACGAUACAAUCUAAGAGGU
Molecule: small nucleolar RNA, 210 nt
Organism: Harmonia axyridis
Lineage: Eukaryota; Metazoa; Arthropoda; Insecta; Coleoptera; Coccinellidae
Product: small nucleolar RNA U3
Exons: 1
Source: RefSeq, a predicted model, not a curated record